UACAGAGGUCUCAAGCGUUGUUCGGAUUCAUUGGGCGUAAAGGGUGCGUAGGCGGCGCGGUAAGUCGGGUGUGAAAUCUCGGAGCUUAACUCCGAAACUGCAUUCGAUACUGCCGUGCUUGAGGACUGGAGAGGAGACUGGAAUUUACGGUGUAGCGGUGAAAUGCGUAGAUAUCUGGAGGAACACCGGUGGCGAAGGCGGCAUCCUGGACCAACACUGACGCUGAGGAGCGAAAGCGUGGGGAGCAAACAGG
Molecule: ribosomal RNA, 253 nt
Filed under: uncultured bacterium
Lineage: Bacteria
Description: partial 16S ribosomal RNA
Rfam family: Bacterial small subunit ribosomal RNA
Source: RNAcentral